Molecule: unclassified non-coding RNA, 341 nt
Filed under: soil metagenome
Description: partial contains 5.8S ribosomal RNA, internal transcribed spacer 2, and large subunit ribosomal RNA
Rfam family: 5.8S ribosomal RNA (bases 1-120)
Source: RNAcentral
GAUGAAGAACGCAGCGAAAUGCGAUAAGUAGUGUGAAUUGCAGAAUUCAGUGAAUCAUCGAAUCUUUGAACGCACAUUGCGCCCUUUGGUAUUCCUAAGGGCAUGCCUGUUCGAGCGUCAUUUGUACCCUCAAGCUUUGCUUGGUGUUGGGCGUCUUGUCUCUAGCUUUGCUGGAGACUCGCCUUAAAGUAAUUGGCAGCCGGCCUACUGGUUUCGGAGCGCAGCACAAGUCGCACUCUCUAUCAGCAAAGGUCUAGCAUCCAUUAAGCCUUUUUUUCAACUUUUGACCUCGGAUCAGGUAGGGAUACCCGCUGAACUUAAGCAUAUCAAUAAGCGGAGGA